RNAcentral lists this ribosomal RNA (585 nucleotides) under uncultured bacterium. RNAcentral's name for it is "bacterial SSU rRNA". It matches the Rfam family "Bacterial small subunit ribosomal RNA", at positions 338 to 916 of the family's 1533-position model. The record is from RNAcentral.
CCUACGGGAGGCAGCAGUGGGGAAUUUUGGACAAUGGGCGAAAGCCUGAUCCAGCAAUGCCGCGUGAGUGAAGAAGGCCUUCGGGUUGUAAAGCUCUUUUGUCAGGGAAGAAACGGUGAGAGCUAAUAUCUCUUGCUAAUGACGGUACCUGAAGAAUAAGCACCGGCUAACUACGUGCCAGCAGCCGCGGUAAUACGUAGGGUGCAAGCGUUAAUCGGAAUUACUGGGCGUAAAGCGUGCGCAGGCGGUUUUGUAAGUCUGAUGUGAAAUCCCCGGGCUCAACCUGGGAAUUGCAUUGGAGACUGCAAGGCUAGAAUCUGGCAGAGGGGGGUAGAAUUCCACGUGUAGCAGUGAAAUGCGUAGAUAUGUGGAGGAACACCGAUGGCGAAGGCAGCCCCCUGGGUCAAGAUUGACGCUCAUGCACGAAAGCGUGGGGAGCAAACAGGAUUAGAUACCCUGGUAGUCCACGCCCUAAACGAUGUCUACUAGUUGUCGGGUCUUAAUUGACUUGGUAACGCAGCUAACGCGUGAAGUAGACCGCCUGGGGAGUACGGUCGCAAGAUUAAAACUUAAAUGAAUUGACGG